AAUCAAGUGCCUUAAGGGUGUUCGGUGGAUGCCUUGGCGCUGAGAGGCGAUGAAGGACGUGCUACGCUGCGAUAAGCCGUGGGGAGCUGCGAAGAAGCUUUGAUCCGCGGAUUUCCGAAUGGGGAAACCCACCUUCGAUAGCCGGAACUCCAAGACCUUGGUUUUGGGGUUCGAUUGGGAGACCGAGAGACUUCAAGAUCAUGACGAUGCAAGUCGUCGAGGUUUUGGAUUUCCGGUUAUCAAGAGAAGGUAUGAGACUUCUGAAUACAUGGGAGGUUUCAAGCGAACCCAGGGAACUGAAACAUCUAAGUACCUGGAGGAAAGGACAUCAACCGAGACUCCGCUAGUAGUGGCGAGCGAACGCGGACCAGGCCAGUCAUGAAUGUAAGCCAACCAGAACCUGUCAGGAAAGCAGGGCCUCAGAGGGUGAUAGCCCCGUAUGGGUAAUGCGAACAUUCAUGCUCGAGUAAGGCGGGACACGUGCAAUCCUGUCUGAACAUGGGGGGACCACCCUCCAAGCCUAAGUACUCCUCAGCGACCGAUAGUGAACCAGUACCGUGAGGGAAAGGUGAAAAGCACCCCGACGAGGGGAGUGAAAUAGACCUGAAACCGGACACCUACAAACAGACGGAGCCCAAGAUGCGUUCUGGGUGACGUCGUACCUUUUGUAUUAUGGGCCAGCGACUUAAUUUAACGAGCAAGCUUAAGCCGAUAGGCAUAGGCGUAGCGAAAGCGAGUCUGAAUAGGGCGUCAAGUUCGUUGUAUUAGACCCGAAACCUAGUGAUCUAGCCAUGAGCAGGUUGAAGGUGAGGUAACACUCACUGGAGGACCGAACGGGUGCCUGUUGAAAAAGGCUCCGAUGACUUGUGGUUAGGGGUGAAAGGCCAAUCAAACUGGGAAAUAGCUGGUUCUCCGCGAAAGAUAUUUAGGUAUCGCCUCGGACGAAUACCUCAGGGGGUAGAGCACUGGAUGGGCUAGGGGGACUUACCGUCUUACCAAACCCAACCAAACUCCGAAUACCUGAGAGUACUAUCCGGGAGUCACACGGCGGGUGCUAACGUCCGUCGUGGAGAGGGAAACAACCCUGACCUACAGCUAAGGCCCCCAAUUCGUGGCUAAGUGGGAAAGGAUGUGGAAAUCCCAAAACAACCAGGAGGUUGGCUUAGAAGCAGCCAUCCUUUAAAGAAAGCGUAACAGCUCACUGGUCUAAAUAAGGGUUUCUGCGCCGAAGAUGUAACGGGGCUCAAGCCACGAGCCGAAGCUUAGGGUGCAUCGCAAGAUGCGCGGUAGCGGAGCGUUCUGUAAGCCUGCGAAGGGCG
This 1319-nucleotide ribosomal RNA is filed under the name Enterobacter asburiae. RNAcentral's name for it is "partial 23S ribosomal RNA". It matches the Rfam family "Bacterial large subunit ribosomal RNA", at positions 1 to 1259 of the family's 2925-position model. The record is from RNAcentral. Lineage: Bacteria; Pseudomonadati; Pseudomonadota; Gammaproteobacteria; Enterobacterales; Enterobacteriaceae.